GCUGCUCGUCGUCUCUUGAUCAGCCUGAACAGGCCGCGUCCCUUCCUCCUAAAGCUAAGUGGAAUAAGGGAAGAAGGUGGAGCAUUGAAGACAAGCUUACCUUGAGAAUACUUGGUAGGAUGAAUUAAAGGCUCACUUCUCCUUGUGCAGUCCUCAAAUGAAGAAUGAAGAGAAUGCAACAAUGUUGGCUGUUUUGAAUGACGAGGUGGUUUGGCUGGGAGCUUGUAUACUUAGGUGUACUUGGGCAUGGCAGCCUGCUGCAUAGGCGUGGGAAAAGAAAAGGUGCAGCAAGCUCAAGAGGGGAUAGGGGAGUGUGCAGCACAUGUCUCCACCCCCUUUCUCUUUUUCCCAUUUUCUUGAACUUAGGGGGGUGGCAGAGUACUGUAGCAACACUGUUGAGUACUGUAGCAAUAACUAUUGAGUACUGUAGCGGCACUGUAGCAACGACUGUUUGAGUACUGUAGCGGUACUGAUUGUUUUGUGUCUACAAUAAAUCUUUCAUUGGUUCUGUAUU
This is a long non-coding RNA of Salvia miltiorrhiza (redroot sage), 514 nucleotides long. RefSeq lists it as uncharacterized. NCBI's taxonomy places the organism in Eukaryota, Viridiplantae, Streptophyta, Magnoliopsida, Lamiales, Lamiaceae. The record is from RefSeq and is a predicted model, not a curated record. The transcript has 2 exons.